RNAcentral lists this long non-coding RNA (1192 nucleotides) under Oryctolagus cuniculus (rabbit). RNAcentral describes it as "lncRNA (ENSOCUG00000031101.1)". The record is from RNAcentral. Lineage: Eukaryota; Metazoa; Chordata; Mammalia; Lagomorpha; Leporidae.
AUGGGGACGUCGGCCUCCCCCACCCGCACCCCGUCUCCCCAUGGAUGGCCUCGGCGAGAGGGAGGCGGGCACUUGGAGCGGGUGCGGCAAGGACCCCAGCCGUGGGCAGCUGAGACUUUGGUGGAGGGCAGGGGUCCCGCAGAGGGGGAGCGCGGGGAGACCGCGGGCAGCGCGAGCCCAGCGCUGGGCAUCAGUGCACAGGCACCUCUCCCCCUCCCCCGCUGGGGGACUUGCUCCUGCUUGCUCCCUCGCUCUCCCUGCCUCUGGGGACGGGGUCUUCCCGCCCUGCCCAUCCUGCUUGGAGGAGAAGUCUACGCAAUUGACAUCCCAGCCCAAUUGACACCCCAGCCCGGCUGGGCGCCCCCAGGGAGAGAGCCACGUUGCACACACUGUAAGAAAUGCACUUUCCCAGGGCGGGGCGGGGCUGGCCGCGGGGAGGGGGAGGUGCCCGUGGGAGGGGAGGGCUGCCCCCUCCAGGUAGCCCCUGGGGAGGAGGGGCCAGGCACUGGACGACUAGGAGGGGAGCAGGGACCAGCCUUGGUGGGCUGCAAGGGGAGUGGGGCCUGGCCCUGGAGCGUGAGGUGGGGAACAGGGCCUAUGCCCUGAAGGGCAGUGUUGCCCUUCCUGAGGGGAGUGUGGCCAAGCCCAAGAGGGCAAGGAGGGAGUCGGGCCUGGCCCUGGAGGGUGAGGAGGGGAGCAGGGACUGGCCUUUUAGGUUGAGGAUGGGAGAGGCCCUGGCUCUGGAGGGCAAGGUAGGGACCAGGGUUUUGCACUGGAGGGUGGCAGGGGGAGCAGGGCCCGGCCCUUUUUGGCAGCAAGAGGAGCGGGGCCUGGCCCUGGAGGGUAAGGAGGGCAGUGGGGCUCAGGCCCUGGAGAGUAAGGAGGGAAUGGGGCACAGGCCCUGUAGGGCGAGGAGGGGACUAGGGCCUAUGCUCUAGAGGGCAGUGAUGGCCAUGCCUGAGGGGAGUGGGGCCUGACCCUGGAGGGUGAGGAGGGUAGGGGAGCCUAGCCCGGAUGGUAAGGAGGGGUGCCGGGCCUGGCCCUGGAGGGCAAGGAAGGCAGCAGGAAAGGCCCUGGAGGGCGAGGAGGGGAGCAGGGUCAGGCCCUAGAAGGCAGUGAGGUGAGCAGGGCCCAUGUCCAGGAGGGUAGUGAUGGCCACGACUGAGGGGAAUGGGGCCUUACCCUAGAGGGC